This 67-nucleotide transfer RNA is filed under the name Agathiella sp. RNAcentral describes it as "tRNA-Asp". The record is from RNAcentral. Lineage: Eukaryota; Metazoa; Arthropoda; Insecta; Hymenoptera; Braconidae.
AAAAAAUUAGUUAAAUAUAAAUAAUAUUAAAUUGUCAUUUUAAAGUUAUUUUAAAAAAUAUUUUUUU